Spermophilus dauricus (Daurian ground squirrel) is the source of this 105-nucleotide small nuclear RNA. The record is from Ensembl. NCBI's taxonomy places the organism in Eukaryota, Metazoa, Chordata, Mammalia, Rodentia, Sciuridae.
GUGCUCACUUUUGGCAGCACAUAUACUAAAAUUGGAACGAUACAGAGAAGAUUAUGGCCCCUGCACAAGGAUGACACAUAAAUUUGUGAAGCAUUCUAUAUUGUU